ACCCUGCUCGGCUUACUAUUUUUGUUAACAAUAGGUCAAGAGGUCUGUAUGCUAAUUUGCGUGCUGAUAACAAGCUUUGAUGUUGCAAAUCAACUGUCAGAUCAAAGCCCGGCCUUGCAGACCCACGAGGGUUUGGCAGCCACAAUCUCCAACCUCCCUGUUUUCAGAGACCAAUUAACACCUGCCUCCAUUUAAUUGCCUGAUGCCCUACACACUGCAAAAAUGCUUAGCAGGUGAUUAGCGAUGCAAAAUAGGUGCUGGCGAGACCAGUCAGCCAAAGCCUGCAUGUUUAAAAACUCCUGUAAAGUUGAGCCAAUCAUUUGGGCGGCUGUUCCCCAGGCAGAGCUCUCGGCAUGCUAAAAAGAGGUCAAGAUGAAACCUGCCGAGAGGAUUCUGAGACUCACAAGUGAGCGUUUGGUAAAUUAAGAUGCAAAGGAACAUGCACAACGUGCGUUUUUGGACUAUUGAUUAACAUCCUUUUAAAACAGUAGGUGUCAGCUUCCCUGGGGAAAUCAGCGGCUUUCAGAGUCACCCUGCCUGGUGUCCCGUCCUCACAGCUGGCUGUGACAAGACCUCGUACCCAACCAUGAGGCAACCAAGAGACUUGGGAAGAGACAGCUGACUUCCAAUGCAGUACACCAACUAAAAAAAUGGAGCACCAUCCACCCGGAGCUGAUCCGAGUCAUCAGUCAAUCUGUAGAUGUGCACUGAGCUCUGAACCCAUCAGACUCCAACUGCUGCAUCCUAAAUUACUCCCAACAGCUGUUUGCGAUCAAGUUUUUCUGGAAUAUACGUACAUUGGCAACACCUGUAAUCCAGAACAUCUGUUUUCACUGCCAAAGCAGCACUUGCCCCAUCUGCCUGGAACAUAUGAAGUCCUGACGCAAACCUCUGCCAGGAGGAACCUCUUUAAGAAAUAUCCAGGGAUUGUUGAGCCAUCUUACCCCCAGCGUCCUUGAAUUAUUCUUAGAAAAUGUCCUUGUGACUUUGACAUGUUCAUAAUAACAUUACAUGUUCGCCACGCAUCCCUAGAGGAAACGUGUCACACGUGCAUAUGUGAAUCAGAUUAGAUGAAUAGCAUCAGUAUGGCCUAACUGUUCCAUAUAGAAACAUUUCAGAUGUAUAAGUGCGCCUAGAGAAACAGACAAUGUUUGACACCAUGAAAUCAACUUCAACCCACGUCCAAUUCAUCUCACAGCAAGAGCCCAGAAACAAGUUAGCCUGCAAAUUAGAUCUGCUGCAUUCAUAUCUUGUAAUAUCUUGUAAUAUGCAUAAUAUAGACUCAAAUAGCUUUCGCCUCACAAUUACAUGAUAGGACGUGUCUGCCACAAGUGUAUGGCAGAAAGUCUCUCAUCUUCAUUUAUAUAAUUUGAGCUUUCCAAUUUAAGUUUUUCGUAUAAUUACCUUGACUGAUUGUAAAAAGGAGAAUGUUCCAAGGCCCUGAAUGAAACUAUUUCUUAUUGCGUUUAUGACGAGUGUAGCCAAUGAAGCUGAAAAGCCAGUAAAGCAUCUUGUGAAAAAGCUGUGCCCAUUAAAUUUCAGAACUCAGAGGAAAACAGCUGAGGCUUAAUUUGGAUAUGAUGAGAACAGCAGAACUUGCAGGAUAAAGACCGUUUUGAUUCUACUUCAACAAGUUAAGUAAAUAGUUCACCACAAAAAGGAAAAUUCAAUCAUUAUUUACUCACCUCAUGCCGUUCUUAACCGUAUGAUGGUAUUUUUUUUUUUCUUCUGUGAAACACGCAGGAAUAAAUGCUGAACCAUCUUCAUAUAGAUUUUUUCUGAUGAAUUCCAAAAAUAUGUCAUGAGUAA
Long non-coding RNA from Cyprinus carpio carpio, 1809 nucleotides. The record is from Ensembl. NCBI's taxonomy places the organism in Eukaryota, Metazoa, Chordata, Actinopteri, Cypriniformes, Cyprinidae.